GACGAACGCUGGCGGCGUGCUUAACACAUGCAAGUCGAACGGAAAGGCCCUGCUUUUGUGGGGUGCUCGAGUGGCGAACGGGUGAGUAACACGUGAGUAUCCUGCCCUUGACUUUGGGAUAACUUCAGGAAACUGGGGCUAAUACCGGAUAUGAGCUCCUGCUGCAUGGUGUGGGUUGGAAAGUUUCGGCGGUUGGGGAUGGACUCGCGGCUUAUCAGCUUGUUGGUUGGGUAGUGGCUUACCAAGGCUUUGACGGGUAGCCGGCCUGUGAGGGUGACCGGCGACAAUGGGACUGAGAUACGGACCAGACUCCAACGGGAGGCAGCAGUGGGGAAUAUUGCAAAAUGGGCGGAAGCCUGAUGCAGAAACGCCGCGAGCGGGAUGACGGCCUUCGGGUUGUAAACCGCUUUCGAAUGUGACGAAGCGUGAGUGACGGUAAUGGGUAAAGAAGCACCGGCUAACUACGUG
Molecule: ribosomal RNA, 468 nt
Filed under: uncultured bacterium
Lineage: Bacteria
Description: partial 16S ribosomal RNA
Rfam family: Bacterial small subunit ribosomal RNA
Source: RNAcentral